UGUGAUAUAAAUCUAUCCUGCCCGCUGCGCAGCGCGGCUUCCUUGCUAGUAUCUUAAUAAAGGCGGGCCCUUUGAUUUCUUUCCGACUCCAUCUCCUUUCUACGUUCCAGGGUUCGCGGACGAAACAGGGGCAAACGAACCGGAGAAAGAAGCAAGAUCUCGAGGGGUGCGGAGGGGGCAUCACGGCGGACAGCAAAGGCGACGAGGAGACGAAGGGUGGCGCUACUCGGCCUAAGCUUCUCUAUUCGGCUGCUCCAAGCCUCCCAUCCGGCGGCCAUGAACCGAGUGGUGAGGCAGUUGUCGUCAUCUUUGCCACUUCUCUGGCGGUCGGAGCCGGUGGUCGGUGCGGCGGCGGCGGCGGCACAUGAGAAGCAGUGGAACAGGGGCAUCAGGGUGAGGGUGAAGGACGGAAAUCUAGAGCAAGCUUUAGCCAUCAUGCAGCGGAAGAUGAUAGCCAGUGGGAUGGAGCGGCUUAUUCGACGGCAGGUCGAUCACCACCUCAAGGACUCGGAGAAGCGCGUCCUCGCCCGCAAGAACCUCCAGUACCGCGUUCGCUCCCAGGACCUCGCUCGUAAGCUCCGCACCAUUCUCAUCAAAAAGAUCAGGCAGUCCACCUAGAAGCCCAGGCAAUGCGUAGGCAGUGAGGGGUCCCUACCAGCUAACAUCACCUAAAUGCCUUGGUGACCUUGAUGGAAAAGGAUUCAACUAUUCAAGCCAACAGUACUCAAAGCAAAUAUCUUUUUGAUCAGAGAUGUGCAAAGGCUGGUUACUAUUUACAUAAUAUAAACACAUGUCCGUAGAGGUCUCUGAGACCAGCUCUGGUGGUGGGAGAGCAAGCUUUAAGAGAACUUAUGACAUCGCCAUAAAGGAUAUAUUCUUUUCCUAGUUUCAUGUGUUUGUGCAUGUAAAUGCUGGACAUGGAAAAGUGUAUGCUUUCCUCUUUAGACCUCUGUGUAGGAUGUAAUCGUUUUAUUUGGAAUAUGUCCUUUUCUUUAUCUUUAUGAAUUUCUGAAAAUAGAUAUCAGGAAUAUCACUAUGAAAUAUAGCUAUUAGUAGGCCCUUGUGUCUGCUGAGGGCUGAUAUGGUGACACAUUUAUAUGCUGCGAGGAACCACAAUUAAGGCUGUGAUCUAAACUUCUUGAGUAAUAUGGCUUUGCAUGGGAUGACUCUGCAGCAA
Molecule: non-coding RNA, 1177 nt
Organism: Elaeis guineensis (African oil palm)
Lineage: Eukaryota; Viridiplantae; Streptophyta; Magnoliopsida; Arecales; Arecaceae
Source: RefSeq, a predicted model, not a curated record